CGAGACCUAUGAUGACCAUUACAGUGUGGUUU
RNAcentral lists this non-coding RNA (32 nucleotides) under Rattus norvegicus (Norway rat). The record is from RNAcentral. Lineage: Eukaryota; Metazoa; Chordata; Mammalia; Rodentia; Muridae.